GACGAACGCUGGCGGCGUGCUUAACACAUGCAAGUCGAACGGAAAGGCCCUGCUUUUGGGGGGUGCUCGAGUGGCGAACGGGUGAGUAACACGUGAGUAACCUGCCCUUGACGUUGGGAUAACUUCAGGAAACUGGGGCUAAUACCGGAUAGGAGCUCCUGCGGCAUGGUGGGGGUUGGAAAGUUUCGGCGGUUGGGGAUGGACUCGCGGCUUAUCAGCUUGUUGGUUGGGUAGUGGCUUACCAAGGCUUUGACGGGUAGCCGGCCUGAGAGGGUGACAGGCCACAUUGGGACUGAGAUACGGCACAGACUCCUACGGGAGGCAGCAGUGGGGAAUAUUGCACAAUGGGCGGAAGCCUGAUGCAGCAACGCCGCGUGCGGGAUGACGGCAUUCGGGUUGUAAACCGCUUUCGCCUGUGAUGAAGCGUGAGUGACGGUAAUGGGUAAAGAAGCCCCGGCUAACUACGUG
RNAcentral lists this ribosomal RNA (468 nucleotides) under uncultured bacterium. RNAcentral describes it as "partial 16S ribosomal RNA". It matches the Rfam family "Bacterial small subunit ribosomal RNA", at positions 28 to 507 of the family's 1533-position model. The record is from RNAcentral.